RNAcentral lists this ribosomal RNA (253 nucleotides) under uncultured bacterium. RNAcentral's name for it is "partial 16S ribosomal RNA". It matches the Rfam family "Bacterial small subunit ribosomal RNA", at positions 524 to 776 of the family's 1533-position model. The record is from RNAcentral.
UACAGAGGGUGCGAGCGUUAAUCGGAAUUACUGGGCGUAAAGCGUGCGUAGACGGUAGCGUAAGUCAGAUGUGAAAGCCCCGGGCUCAACCUGGGAACUGCAUUUGAGACUGCUCUGCUCGGGUGCGGAAGAGGGAAGCGGAAUUUCCGGUGUAGCGGUGAAAUGCGUAGAUAUCAGGAGGAACACCUGUGGUGUAGACAGCUUACUGGACCAUUUCUGACGCUGAGACACGAAAGCGUGGGUAGCAAACAGG